RNAcentral lists this ribosomal RNA (261 nucleotides) under Pseudomonas mosselii. RNAcentral's name for it is "partial 16S ribosomal RNA". It matches the Rfam family "Bacterial small subunit ribosomal RNA", at positions 1075 to 1335 of the family's 1533-position model. The record is from RNAcentral. Lineage: Bacteria; Pseudomonadati; Pseudomonadota; Gammaproteobacteria; Pseudomonadales; Pseudomonadaceae.
UUGGGUUAAGUCCCGUAACGAGCGCAACCCUUGUCCUUAGUUACCAGCACGUUAUGGUGGGCACUCUAAGGAGACUGCCGGUGACAAACCGGAGGAAGGUGGGGAUGACGUCAAGUCAUCAUGGCCCUUACGGCCUGGGCUACACACGUGCUACAAUGGUCGGUACAGAGGGUUGCCAAGCCGCGAGGUGGAGCUAAUCUCACAAAACCGAUCGUAGUCCGGAUCGCAGUCUGCAACUCGACUGCGUGAAGUCGGAAUCGC